UUCUUCAAAAAAAUUAUUUGCAGGAACUGUUUCUUUGUAUUUUUCAUUUUUCAUUUUUAUAUUUUCAAAGAAAAAGUUGUAAAUUAGGCUACUAAACAAGCCCAUAAUUGAGUGGAAUGGACAAGCUGAUGAGUCUAUCCAUGGAAUCUUUACUUGAAUCAAGUUGGGAUUCAAUCAUAGCGCCAGCUUGAGGUUGCAGCCAACUUCUAUAGUCCAAAAAAUUUGCCAUAUUUGCCGUUCCAACUUCCAAGGGGGCUGCUAUGAAGUAAAGCACGAUCCUCAAAAAGAGAAUAAGACAGCUUAUUCCUCGCCUUUUUACUUUGCUGUGCAGAAGUAAAGGUCCUCUCUUUCAAAAAAGAAAAAAAAGGAAAAAGAAAAUGAAAAAGAAAAAGAAAAUCUUUCCGUUCUCUUAAACUUCUUACCUUUUUACAAUGGGGUUUUCAUGGGGAUGAGUAAUGCUUCAUGAAAGGUAAUUAGUUUACAUAUUUUAUUCAGUGUUUUAUUGAAUGCUUAAAAUGGGAGUGUAAUUAUGAACAAAUAUGUGUUUGAAUUUGAUUGUGUUUUGCAAAUUAUGUUUCUGUGAUUGCGUUAGAAGAAAGGGUUUGGUUCAUGAGACAAUGGGUAGAUGGGUGUUUUGAUUAAGUACGCUGAAAAAGGAGUUGACAGGAGGGGUGAGGAGGAUGGAAUGACAAUGGAUGGAGGGGUUGGCCCAAAAAUUGAAAAUCAAGCUUUUGAAUUUGAUGUCUAGAUGUCUUGUUUUAGCAGGUUCAAUGCAUUUUAGAGCAUGGAGUGGAGGGUUUGUUAUCAGUCCAGUGGAAUAUUUGCCCUUAUGGGGUCUACAACCUUGUCUCCAUGGCUUGUGGUUGUUGGUGCUGAAAUGGGUAUGUGUAAUUUCAUUGAUCCAAUUCCGAAAGAUAUGUUUCAUGAAUUUUCAUGAUGCUUCCGGUGCUGCAAAACCAUUUUUCAAUGGACAGUUGGUUGCUGGUGUCUCAGGGGUUGGCCCUCUGGAUUCUUCUAUCCCCUUCAUGAAAGCUGGAAUUUAUGGGUCUUCAUUAUUGGGAUAAUAUAUUUUUCAUGGACUAACAGUUUUUCGGAGAAUCCUCAAGGGCCAUGUACUUUGACCCAUCAAAUAUUCAUAAUGAUGUGCAAUGAAAAGCAUCUACUGGGUGUCUGUAGGACAUUUUGGAAAACGGGUUGGUGUUUUCAGUCUGGAUUAGUCUACAGUGCUGCUGGAAGGAAUGGAAAAUCAGAAGAUAAAAAUUGUUCUGUGUUAUGUUGCAUCUUUCUCUGGUGAGGGGAAUGACAGAAAAACCCGCAAUGUGGAAUAAGGUGCAUUUUGUUAAUUCGGCAAAUAUGGUGGCUUCUGCCCUCUUAGAAUUGGUGAUGGGAACAAUGAUUCUUGUGAUUUCUACAGGGCAAGAAGGAAAUUGGAUUGUGCUUGGGUGUUCAAGCAAGGUGACUUUGACCUUGUGGUGAACAGUUAAAUUGCCUGGGAAUCCUUUUUAUUAACCUUUUCUCAGUUGUAAAAUAUCAAAUCAUUUAAUGCCUAUGAACCAUCAUUUUUGAGCACAUGUGGGGACAUUUUUUUCUUGAUGUCUUUUGCAAUUAUUAUCAGAUGCUCUUUGCAUUCAUGUAAUUUGUUAUUGGAAAUGAUAGAGAUGUUCCUAAAGAUACCGGUAAUGUUGCAAGAAAUCUAUAGCCAACCUUCCAGCAAAAUCUAUUUUCUUACUAUCAAGGUUGUCCAUGUUUAGUACUUUACUAGAUACAAAUGGAAAUGGCAACAACUUCUUCAUCCUAACAUCCUAUAAUUCUAGGAAUUAGUUGCUUCGAAAAUCUUUGAUGGUCAUAUAAGUAUCCAAAGUAUGAAUAAGAUGGAAGUUUGUUGUCUCAACCAUUCUUCUCAAUCCUGAUUCGAAUAAAGAGACGGGCUUUUAAGGAAGUUUUUAAAUUGUUGGUUCCCAGGUCUAGGGCUUCUUUCCUUAUGUUGCCUAAUGGUAAUAGUGGGGUAGAAUUGAUGUCCAACCCAAAACCUGUAAGUAUAAUUUGCUCGAUUUGCUAGGUCAAAUCGGAGAGGCAUCCAUUUUGGUUUCCAUACUGUAUUGGUCCAUAUAACGCUUACUGAUCUUUUUAUUAGUACCAAAGACAGCAUCAUUGACUAUCACCAGGCCAGGGGGAAAUCACCGCAGAAUUUGAAACUAAAAAAUUUCAUAUGAUUGGAUCAGGGUAUAAAAAAACUCACGUUAUUUAUAAAUCACUAUUUAUUUAACCUUAUAUGAUUGCCUCCUUGUAGAGCAAUCCGGUUGAAUCACUUCUCAGAAGUUGGAGAAAACUUGGGAGCUAUUAUGGUUCACAAGUAGCCAUAGUCGUAACUUUAAAUAUCUUAAACUUCUUGAUUUUAAAAGUGGAAGAUUCUAGCAUACUGAUCUAUCUAUUCAUAUUGCUUGGAGCAUCCAUGUAUUCUUCUUGUAUGAAUAUGUUAAUCCAGCAGAACCUUUGCAGCUUCAGACCUGACUGAUUUGGAUUUGGAUCUGUUCAAAUUGCAUGACACCUGAACUGAAUUCCAAGGAUUGCAACUGGAUUUCAAUCCACAAGAAAGCCCAUUUAGACAAUCAAACCAGCUGAGCCAAGGAGAUCACUCUUGGUUUAUACCCUGCCCAGUUGCAUUUCACAUCAUGCAGUAUGGCUUUCACUGCCCUACCCUCCUAUGUUUCAAUCUUGUGAGAUGCUUGAGUUGAUUUGUGAUGAAAUUUUUUUCACAUGUUAAUAUAUGAUAAGCCCUAUCUUGGAUGGUUUCAACACUUGGAAAUCUGAGACUGAGUCCACCAACUUUUGGAGUCUUAUCCAUCUAUCUAGUUUAAGUAAGAUCCAACUUUUUGUUGUUUCCAAACUGUGGCCAAAACAUCUGAUUUCUUGGGAAGAUGUUGAACUGCACAAGUACUUUUAUUUUACCAAACAUGUUAAAGCUCAAACCUUGCUAUAUUUAAGCUAUUGUUAUCAUAUGAUUUUUUUUCUUCCCCAAUGGCCCUUUAUUUGUGUGUCAAAAUGAAAUAGCCGAAGGAACUGAGCUUAUUUUCACAGUUCGGCCCAAUCCUGGUCUUUGACGUUGUACUCAUUUGGGUAUUGCAGGCUGUAAACUGCAUUUUGUUUUUGUUUGCUUGGAAUUGUUUUCUCUUUUCAAAAAUUUCCUUAUAUCAGGCACUCAUAUAUGUAGCCUCAACCUUGUAAGUAGCUGCAAUUUUUUAAAUAAUGAUAAAUAUAGCUAAAAUAGCAACCCUUAGAAUCAAUUAGACAUGAACUAGGUUCUAUUGUUUUUGGACAUGCAUUUUUAUGACAUAAACUUGAUGUGUAUGGUGCCAUAUUUUUCUUUCACAUGAUUCUUUCUAAGUUGUACAUAACUUGGAUAACCUGGAGAAAGAAUUGACCAUCUGAACCAUCUAGUCCUUUGUAUUUUUCUUUAUUCCUCAUUGUACAUAUAAGAAGGUGCAUAACAUUGUCAUUGUGUUUUGUUGGCAAGUUAUAGAUCUAAGCUGUUCAAUUUCAAGUUCUUUUUAAUGCUGAAGAGAUAAUCAUGCUGCUGCUUGGGAUGUCUCUUCCGUGGGGUAAGGAAAAAUGUUGUUCGCUCCACUUAUAGCAACACAGCUCAGGUGGUGUCACCUGAUAAGGCCUCAUAGCUGGGGGCUUUGCUCUCGGCUAUGGCUUAGAUGGUUAAACAAGUGAAAGGGCUCCAUUGUAGCACAAACUACUCUAUAAUACCUUUUCAUCUUCAUUUUGUAUUUUAAUGUUUCUUUCUUCUUAUUUCAUGAAUCCAUGUACUACAUUGUAAAAGGGUGAGAAGUUGUGAGGAGUAACCCAAUACAAAAAAAGGGGGUUGGGGGAGGAUUUGUGGGAGAUUCCUAGUUCAAGUCGAACAAAAUUUACCCAUUGAAAAAAGAAAAAAAAACCUGUACGAAAGGAAAUAAAAAAAAUAAAAAAAUAAGAAAAUGAUGAGAAGUCUAUACAACAUCAUGUGGCAUUCUUGUCUACCAUUAAUCUUAAAGCAAAAGUUGACCUCAUCACCCAUCAAUUUCAGAACUGUUCUUAAUGCACUUUGUUUUAUUUAGCUUUUUGAGUUAAGCAUUUUUUAUUGUAAGUCAUUUUCCUUAUUAGAGUCAUUUGUAUUCUUUUGAAAACAUUUUUCUUAAAAUCUUGUUUAGAUUGGCAUUAAAAAGAAAGUGAUUUAAACCAUUGAACUGGUACAAAAACUAAAGGAUUGUGAAAAUUUAAAAUUUUAAUGAAGCAAAGGAUGAAAAUGUUAAAAUAAUUCAUUGAAUACUUUGACAGUUUUAGUGGAAAGAUGACUUUAAAAAUUGGAACAGAACCUGAUAUCAGAUGUUACUGUCUGAAAACUAUUUCUCUUUAAACUAGAAUAGACCAAUGUGCAUGUGCAAUUUAUUGGGGCAUAGCUUGGGAUGGCAAAUCAGUAAGUUGAAAAUUGGUUCUUAAGGAAGCCUGUAUUCUUUGAUAAAGAGGGAUGGUAGACAGUCCUUGUGACUCCAUUGAUGUGCUAUAAAGCUUGAGAAGCUUGAAAUAGGUUGAAACAUAUGUGAGAAACAAUUAACAUGGUCAAGAUUGACAUAGAGGCUGAAUGUUUGAGCUGAAUUCCCAAAGAGAGCAUCUAACAGAGGAAACGGAGGGUGCCCUGCCAAAAGAAUUUGGAAUGAGUAUCCUGAAUGGAGUAUCUCCAAGAACUAAGGAGCUGGGGCAAGGUUAUGCUCUUUCUAAUGAUUUCCUAUAUUGAUAUUUUCUGUAAGUAGAGUACUUUUUUUUGUGAUGCAGAUAAUAUAUUGUUAAUUGUCUUUUACUGUGAAAAAGAGAGCCAUUAUUGGAAUUAGAAAUAGAUUCUCACAUUCUCCCUAAGUUAUCUAAACAAGCCUUGCUUUAUUAUCCCCUAUAAUCCACUUAUGCCAGUAAUUUUAUUCUUUAAGGAGCCUCUUUACUUUAUAUAGAAUUAUCCUUCAGUGAUUUGCCAUUAGAUCUGGAUAAAUCUAGUAAAGGGAUGGGAUUUCAUCUUGUCUUUCUCACAGAAAUUGGUAAGUAAGGAAAACUCUUUGUUCAGAAGGACUUUUGUGCAUUCUUAUCUUGUUUCUAUUGCUUCCCAAGUUAAGAGGGAAAACAGUAGAUUUUUCUUUACAGGUAUGGAGAUGGAAACUGCCAGGAAGAGGCUCCUAACAUAGAUCAGUAAUUGAUCUUAUAUUUUCUAUGUGCAUUUCAUUUUGUGAGAGGAUAGACUACAUGAUUUAAAAAACUUCCUCCGGGAGUACCUUAAAAGAUGAAAGCUACUCUGAAGAGUAUAUAUUUUACGGUCGUGAGGGGUGUGGAAAUGUUCUAAUCCUCAUCUCAAAGCAUAAACUGUACAAUGAUUAAUGAUUAGUUUUAUUACCUGUUUUCUGAGGGUAUUUGGUUUUUCUUUUUCAUACUUCUCACACCAGGUAUGACUUACUUUUUAAACAAGAAGGAUAAUUUACAACUGAAUUUUAAUAAGAGACCUGGAUCUUGAGGGAGCAAUUUUGAUAAGAUCAUAGUUCUUGUUAACUGCAUGGAGUAUCCUAUUGUUGCUCGGUGGCUUCCAAUCAUUGUGAAAUGCAUACAUGAAUCACUGUGACAAAUUAAUGAACUUUUCAUAAAUAUGUACAGUUAAGGGCAUGAGGCCACCAUCAUGGGAAUCUGGACCAUAUACAACUCUAUGCAGGACAAACUCAAGUUGGUAUGUCAGCAUACUAGCCGCCCAUAUUUCAUUGACCGUUGGAUUGUGAUAUGAUUUUCAUGGGGCAAUCUUUGAUCCUUGGCCCCAAUGCUUGAGUUCUCAGGGAAGUUGUAAGAGUUAGCAUUGCUUUUGAUCCUUAGAUUCUCAUUAUUAAUAAUGAUUUCUUUUGCCAUCAAGGGCAAACUAGUCAAUCUGGAACUUAUGAAAAGUUUGAAUUGUGGUGCUUCUGACAGAAAAUGGACCUUUUCCUUGUUGUCUGCUUCACAAACAGCGGGAGCUACUGCUAUCAAAAAAGGCAACACUAGAGUCAGCCAUGUGCUUAAGCAAGAUAUUAGAUAUUCCUGGUCUCUGGCAAAUGUGGAGAAAUCUGAGUACAGGACCCGGAUCCAUUUCACCUGUUCAAAAUGGAGAAGAGAAUCCUUCAUCAGAAUUCAGAAGGCUUUCAUGCAGGAUAUUUAUCCACAACUCACCACCAGAGACGUCCACAUAUGGAAAAUUUCCUGUGUAAACCUGCAUUUCAGUGCCUUGGAGUGAUUCCAUGUUGAUCACAAUUCCUUGGUGAGCUUGUGCUUGGCCUUGGAGUGAGUGGCCAUGGCCUCUAGCUGCAACUGUGAGCUCUGAACCAGGACCCAUUUGCCAAACAUGCUUUAUGGUCAUGGCAAUAUCAGAAACUGACUUUGGAUGCAAGACUGCCUGAGGAAGGAACUGGUACCGGUUCCCAAAGUCUCUGGCUGCAUGCUCAAUUCCAUGGAAACUGAAAUGCCCGUCAACAGAAAGUGUUUCCAAUGAAGAAGGGAUGAUGGGAAGACAGAGGCUGAUGUUAGCGGUUAAACAGCCCAAGAACAAGAUGACAAAGCUUGCUAUGAAACGAAUGCUACUUGGCCUGAGGAAACUAAUAGCUGGGUAUCUCAUUUUUUUCUUGAGAAAAGAUGGGAGAAGCCAAAGACAGAAGCCCCUCAACAUUGUAUUUGUUUCUAUGUGAGAAAAGAAAAAAGAGAGGUGUAGAAGAGCCAAGGAAAUGAAGGGCUGAGGAGGGAAUUUAAAGGUGAAGAUUUGGGUGGCAGAGUCAACCUAUCCCCAGUGGUGAGCAUCCGUAUGAAGACUGCCUACUUGGGUGGGAGAGUUUUAGGAUUUUCUUUUUAUUUCUCCUUUUUGGGCUCUUUUGUUUAAGAGAGAAGCCAUCACAUAUGCCAAGUUGAAGAGAAAAGUCACAGAAAGAAAGAUUUCACAAAUCUUGCACUUUUUUUAACAGUUGCAACCACAUUGUCACCUUUUCCAUCAAGGACAAACAUGUCUCAAAUUGUUUCUCAUUAACCCUGCUUAAGGAUACCUUUGCCAUUUCUACAAAAGGUUAUGGCCUUGCUGGGACGUGCCUUCGCCUGCCUUCAGUGACAGGCUUGGCCAUAGAAGUGUCUUUCUCACAUGAAUGAUGAAGUUUUUUCUUGAAUUCAUUGCUUGUCCAAAGUAAACAAGGCGUAUCUUCUUUCAGAUCGGAUGAGAGGGACUAGUGGGGAUGGCUAGAUUUAUUUGAGAAAGGGAGAGAUGGGCUAGCAGGAUUUGUAUGGACCCAUGGGACAAGUGAAUUUCAAAUGGGUAUGUGCUUUGUUGGGGAAAGGGCUAUGAUUGGUAUAGUUGGACCCCGUUUCGCCAGUGUGAUCGGUUAAUCACAGGGGUCGAAUUUGGGAUGACAGCUUAGAGGAAACACCGAAAGACUACCCUUUGCCUCUCUGCUGCAAUGUCUUUGAUGCCUCAGCUCCCAGCCAUGGGACAAGCCUAAAGAUUCUCCUGCUCAUGUUUUGUGUGCAAAGAAAUCACUUCAUUUCAAUUAUUGUUUCUUUGCCGUGUCUUACAUGUUCUUAGUGACCAUAAUGUGACCUUAAUUUGCAGGCCUCACCAUGUGUAUAUUAUGUGCAAAUAUACCCGUCUUGCACUCCUUUUUUUCAUUGUGUACUUGAAAGUAUAUUGUUAUAUACCCCAUAGCUUCCUUUGCUCUUGAAA
This is a long non-coding RNA of Vitis vinifera (wine grape), 7741 nucleotides long. RefSeq lists it as uncharacterized. NCBI's taxonomy places the organism in Eukaryota, Viridiplantae, Streptophyta, Magnoliopsida, Vitales, Vitaceae. The record is from RefSeq and is a predicted model, not a curated record. The transcript has 4 exons.